RNAcentral lists this ribosomal RNA (253 nucleotides) under uncultured bacterium. Its description in RNAcentral is "partial 16S ribosomal RNA". It matches the Rfam family "Bacterial small subunit ribosomal RNA", at positions 524 to 776 of the family's 1533-position model. The record is from RNAcentral.
UACAGAGGAGCCAAGCGUUGUCCGGAUUGACUGGGCGUAAAGCGCACGCAGGCGGACGCGCGCGUGGGGUGUGAAAUCUGGCCGCUUAACGGCCAGGCGCCAUCCCAUACGGCGCGUCUGGAGCAAUGCAGAGGUCGGUGGAAUUGCCGGUGUAGUGGUGAAAUGCGUAGAGAUCGGCAGGAACACCCAGGGGGAAACCAGCCAACUGGGCAUUUGCUGACGCUGAGGUGCGAGAGCGUGGGGAGCGAACCGG